UCGUANCAAGGUUUCCGUAGGUGAACCUGCGGAAGGAUCAUUG
This 43-nucleotide ribosomal RNA is filed under the name Sisyrinchium rosulatum. RNAcentral describes it as "partial 18S ribosomal RNA". It matches the Rfam family "Eukaryotic small subunit ribosomal RNA", at positions 1789 to 1831 of the family's 1831-position model. Lineage: Eukaryota; Viridiplantae; Streptophyta; Magnoliopsida; Asparagales; Iridaceae. The record is from RNAcentral.